Molecule: ribosomal RNA, 429 nt
Filed under: Acidobacteriota bacterium
Lineage: Bacteria; Pseudomonadati; Acidobacteriota
Description: Acidobacteria bacterium partial 16S ribosomal RNA
Rfam family: Bacterial small subunit ribosomal RNA
Source: RNAcentral
UAGGGAAUAUUGGACAAUGGGCGCAAGCCUGAUCCAGCCAUGCCGCGUGAGUGAAGAAGGCCCUCGGGUUGUAAAGCUCUUUUGUCCGGAAAGAAAAGCUUUGGGUUAAUACCCCGAAGUCCUGACGGUACCGGAAGAAUAAGCACCGGCUAACUUCGUGCCAGCAGCCGCGGUAAUACGAAGGGUGCAAGCGUUACUCGGAAUUACUGGGCGUAAAGCGUGCGUAGGUGGUUCGUUAAGUCUGAUGUGAAAGCCCUGGGCUCAACCUGGGAAUGGCAUUGGAUACUGGCGGGCUAGAGUGCGGUAGAGGGCAGUGGAAUUCCCGGUGUGGCAGUGAAAUGCGUAGAGAUCGGGAGUAACAUCUGUGGCGAAGGCGACUGCCUGGACCAGCACUGACACUGAGGCACGAAAGCGUGGGGAGCAAACAGG